CCUACGGGAGGCAGCAGUGAGGAAUAUUGCGCAAUGGAGGCAACUCUGACGCAGCCAUGCCGCGUUCAGGAAGAAGGCGCUACGCGUUGUAAACUGCUUUUAACCGGGAAGAAACCCCAGGACGUGUCCUGGGUUGACGGUACCGGAGGAAUAAGCACCGGCUAACUUCGUGCCAGCAGCCGCGGUAAUACGAAGGGUGCAAGCGUUAUCCGGAUUCAUUGGGUUUAAAGGGUGCGUAGGCGGGGUGGUAAGUCAGUGGUGAAAGCCUGCGGCUCAACCGUAGAAUUGCCAUUGAUACUGCCAUUCUUGAGUAGGCUCGACGUGGGCGGAAUGUGCCGUGUAGCGGUGAAAUGCUUAGAUAUGGCACAGAACACCGAUAGUGAAGACAGCUCACGAGGGCCAAACUGACGCUGAGGCACGAAAGCGUGGGGAUCGAACAGGAUUAGAUACCCCGGUAGUCUAA
RNAcentral lists this ribosomal RNA (463 nucleotides) under uncultured Cryomorphaceae bacterium. Its description in RNAcentral is "bacterial SSU rRNA". It matches the Rfam family "Bacterial small subunit ribosomal RNA", at positions 338 to 798 of the family's 1533-position model. Lineage: Bacteria; Pseudomonadati; Bacteroidota; Flavobacteriia; Flavobacteriales; Cryomorphaceae. The record is from RNAcentral.